This 66-nucleotide transfer RNA is filed under the name Cacopsylla melanoneura. Its description in RNAcentral is "tRNA-Pro". The record is from RNAcentral. Lineage: Eukaryota; Metazoa; Arthropoda; Insecta; Hemiptera; Psyllidae.
CAGCGUAUAGUUUAAUUAAAAUAUUAGUUUUGGAGACUAAGGUUGUAGUAUUCUCUAUUUUGCUGA